AUCCAACUGACGAGUUUCUGAUAGGACAAAACGCACGUCCUGGAU
This 45-nucleotide non-coding RNA is filed under the name Schistosoma margrebowiei. Lineage: Eukaryota; Metazoa; Platyhelminthes; Trematoda; Strigeidida; Schistosomatidae. The record is from RNAcentral.